Molecule: long non-coding RNA, 1608 nt
Organism: Trifolium pratense (red clover)
Lineage: Eukaryota; Viridiplantae; Streptophyta; Magnoliopsida; Fabales; Fabaceae
Exons: 10
Source: RefSeq, a predicted model, not a curated record
UCACUAUCACCAUCGCUACUGCAAUCUUUCAUUAUCCAUCUUUUUAAAUUUGAAUUCUAUUUCAUUCUAAUUCAUAAUCGAUUCAUUCAACCCAAUUUGUUUUCUGUUUGCGACACUCUUUCGUUCUCCGUCAUUCAUCAUAACGCUACGCUAGAAAACCUCACAACACAACACGUUCGUGUAACUCGCUCACUCGACUCGCCCCGUAAUUCGUUCUCUUCGUUUUCCAUUUUUUCAUCAUGCCGAAGGCUAAAGCUGAUUCCAAACCCGCUGAUAACAGUUGCUUUCACUACUUGGGUUCUUGGGUUAAUUUUGAUGAUGUGGAAGCUAUUAAAGAAAAAGUUCCUUACAAUGUUUUCAAAGUUGAGUCCUUUCCAUGGCAGCUCAUGAAGUAUAUGAAGAUCAUCAUAACAGAAGGUUGCUGAUAAUUGUUCUGCUCUUAGGAAUAGUAGUAUUUUGCUACUACCACCAAGGAACAGUGACCAAUAUUAAAAGAAUGAUAUGCAAACUGAGGAUAUAUUUAUCAGCAGUUGAAGAAGAUCAUUAUGCAAAUGGUUCUGAUUUAUUAAUAUUCGGUUAUCUCACAAUUAAAGUAGCAAAAAAAUAACUUCUCAGAAGAAAAUAAGUUCGGAGAGGGUGGAUUUGGUGCUGUGUACAAGGUUGAAAAUUUUGGGUCUUUCAGGACAAGGGUGUACCUUCCAACUAGUGAUAUUUAUGUCGUGAUUAUGAAAUUAGGCUUACCGAAUCGGCAGAUUGGUUUGAAUGCACUUUCUAGAUCAUUGUCACAGAGAAGUAUGGCAAAAACGAUACAGGUCAUUGGAAAGGCUCGCGUGCCAAUUAUUAAAUUCGUUAAAGAAGAGUGCUCUUUCCUUUGAUAUAAGUUUUGAUAUAGACAAUGGACCUAAAGCUGCCUAGUAUAUUCAGGAAGCAGUGGCUAAGUGGCCUCAACUGCGGCCGUGGUGUUUGAUUUUGAAAGUAUUUUUACAACAAAGAAUUUAUUUUUUUAAUGAGGUAUGAGUUUUUCUUAGGAAUCUUGUAUCUCUUGCACUUAUCUCGGUUCUUGAUUUUCUAAUGGAAGAUUCUUGUAAGUAUGCUCUCCUAACUAUAUAUUUGUGUGGUGAUUCUAGAUUAACAUUUGCAUCACUUUUUUCAGCUCAUAAAGUAUAUGAAGAUCAUCAUAACAGAAGGUUGCUGAUAAUUGUUCUGCUUAGACUACUGCACUUCUCUUAGGAAUAGUAGUAUUUUGCUACUACCACCAAGGAACAGUGACCAAUAUUAAAAGAAUGAUAUACAAACUUAGGAUAUAUUUAUCAGCAGGUGAAGAAGAUCAUUAUGCAAAUGGUUCUGAUUUAUUAAUAUUCGGUUAUCUCACAAUUAAAGUAGCAAAAAAUAACUUCUCAGAAGAAAAUAAGUUAGGAGAGGGUGGAUUUGGUGCUGUGUACAAGGUAACAUUUCGAAAUUCAUCUGCUUGUGAAAUGUUUCGUGCAAAUAGGAACUUUGAAAUGUAAAUUGAAGUAUGAAUUGGAUAAUAAUGAUGCAAUCUUCCAGUAUGAAUUUCAUUUUUUUUAGAUGCAAAAUUGAAUAUGUCCCUUAAUUGAGUUUAUGUCC